AUGCGUACGCGUUGGGUUCCACCAUAUUAUCAACGUGAAUUGCUUCAAAAAUUGCAGCGUUUAAGACAAGGGAAAAAUUCUGUAGAAGAAUAUUAUCAGGAAUUACAAACUGGCAUGAUUAGAUGUGGUAUUGUUGAGGAGAAUGAAGCUAUGCUUGCACGUUUUCUGGGUGUAUUAAAUAGAGAGAUUCAGACCAUUCUAGACUAUAAGGAGUAUACUAAUAUCACUCGUUUAUUCCAUCUUGCUUGUAAAGCUGAACGUGAAGUGCGGGAUCGACAAGCAUUGGGGCGAACUAACUUUUCUGCAGGCCGACCUUCAUCAUGGGCACCACAUGCAUCUUCUACUUCAACUGCACCAGCACCUCCAUCCGGUGCCACCUCCAGCCGUGAUACAAGAAAACAGGCACAACCACCAUUAUCUGCCAAGAGCGCACCUGCGGGGCCUGCACAACGUUCUUCUUCUUCCAUGGCAUCAACAGGGCACACAAGUGAUAUUAUUUGUCGUCGUUGUAAGGGAGGAGGUCAUUAUGCGAGAGAAUGCAAAUCUCCGCGUGUGAUGAUUGCUACCGCGGAUGGUGGAUAUGAGUCCGCUAGUGACUAUGAUGAGGAGACUUUGGCUCUUAUUACACGUGAAGAACAUGGUGGAGAUGAUUCUGAUCAUGAGACGCAAUACAUGGCUCCUGAAGACGCUGACAGGUAUGAAUGUUUAGUUGCUCAACGUGUUUUGAGUGUGCAGGUCACACAAGCUGAGCAAAAUCAGAGGCACAAUUUGUUCCAUACCAAGGGAGUUGUGAAGGAACGUUCUGUGCGCGUCAUAAUAGACGGAGGGAGAUGCAACAAUUUGGCUAGCAUGGAGAUGGUGGAGAAGCUUUCUCUCACCACAAGACCACAUCCACAUCCUUACUACAUCCAAUGGUUCAACAACAGCGGCAAGGUUAAGGUAACACGUACUGUUCGUGUGCAUUUUAGUAUCUCUACAUAUGCUGAUUAUGUUGAUUGUGAUGUGGUACCUAUGCAAGCAUGUUCCUUAUUACUUGGUAGACCAUGGCAAUUUGAUAAAAAUUCUGUACACCAUGGUAGAAACAAUCACUAUACUCUUGUUCAUAAGGAUAAAAAUAUUACUUUGCUUCCUAUGACUCCUGAUUCCAUUUUGAAAGAUGAUAUUAAUAGAGCUAAUAAAGCACAACAGGAGAAGAAUAAGAGUGAAAAUCAGAUUGUGGCAAAAGAAUUUGAGCAACAAAUGAAGCCUAAUAAUAAACCAUCUAGUGUUGUUUCUGAAAUUAAAUUGAAAAGUGCAUGUUUAUUUGCCACCAAAUCUGAUAUUGAUGAGCUAGAUUUCAGCAAAUCUGUUUGCUAUGCUUUUGUGUGCAAAGAGGCAUUCUUUUCAUUCGAGGACGUGCCUUCCUCUUUGCCUCCUGCUGUCACUAACAUUUUGCAGGAGUUCGCUGACGUUUUUCCACAAGACGUACCACCGGGAUUACCGCCUAUUCGAGGGAUUGAGCAUCAGAUUGACUUAAUUCCCGGUGCUUCACUGCCAAAUCGUGCACCAUACCGUACCAAUCCAGAGGAGACGAAGGAGAUUAUGCGUCAAGUACAAGAGCUUCUCGACAAAGGUUAUAUACGCGAAUCCCUUAGUCCUUGUGCUGUUCCUAUUAUUCUAGUGCCGAAAAAGGAUGGUACAUCAUGUAUGUGUGUUGAUUGUAGAGGCAUUAAUAAUAUUACUAUUUGUUAUCGUCAUCCUAUUCCUAGGCUAGAUGAUAUGCUUGAUGAAUUGAGUGGCUCUACAAUUUUCUCCAAAGUUGAUUUGCGUAGUGGCUACCAUCAAAUUCGUAUGAAAUUGGGAGAUGAAUGGAAAACAGCAUUUAAAACUAAGUUUGGAUUAUAUGAGUGGUUAGUCAUGCCUUUUGGGUUAACUAAUGCACCUAGUACUUUCAUGAGAUUAAUGAACGAAGUUUUACGUGCUUUCAUUGGACGAUUUGUGGUCGUUUACUUUGAUGACAUAUUGAUUUAUAGCAGAUCUUUGGAAGAACAUUUGGAACAUUUACGUGCUGUUUUUAUUGCUCUACGUGAUGCACGUUUGUUUGGUAACCUUGGGAAGUGCACCUUUUGCACCGACCGAGUAUCUUUUCUUGGCUAUGUUGUUACUCCACAGGGAAUUGAAGUUGAUAAAGCCAAGAUUGAAGCUAUUGAGAGUUGGCCGCAGCCCAAAACGGUCACACAAGUGAGGAGUUUUCUUGGCCUCGCUGGAUUCUAUAGGCGUUUUGUGAGAGAUUUCAGCACCAUUGCUGCACCUCUCAAUGAGCUUACAAAGAAAGAUGUGCCUUUUCUUUGGGGUACCGCACAGGAAGAAGCCUUCAUGGUAUUGAAAGAUAAGUUGACACAUGCUCCUUUACUCCAACUUCCUGAUUUUAAUAAGACUUUUGAGCUUGAAUGUGAUGCUAGUGGAAUUGGAUUAGGCGGUGUGUUAUUACAAGAUGGCAAACUUGUUGCAUACUUUUCUGAAAAAUUGAGUGGGCCUAGUCUGAAUUAUUCUAGUUAUGAUAAAGAAAUAUAUGCUCUUGUUCGGACUUUAGAAACAUGGCAACAUUAUUUAUGGCCCAAAGAAUUUGUUAUACAUUCUGAUCAUGAAUCUUUGAAACAUAUUAAAAGUCAAGCUAAACUGAAUCGUAGACAUGCUAAAUGGGUUGAAUUCAUUGAGACUUUCCCUUAUGUCAUUAAACACAAGAAGGGAAAAGAAAGUGUUAUUGCUGAUGCAUUGUCUCGUCGCUAUACUAUGCUUUCACAACUUGACUUCAAAAUAUUUGGUUUGGAGACCAUCAAAGAUCAAUAUGUGCAUGAUGCUGAUUUUAAAGAUGUAAUGCAGAAUUGUAAAGAAGGAAGAAUGUGGAACAAGUUUGUUGUUAAUGAUGGAUUUGUGUUUCGUGCUAACAAGCUAUGCAUUCCAGCUAGCUCCGUUCGUCUUUUGUUGUUGCAGGAGGCGCAUGGAGGAGGAUUAAUGGGACACUUUGGCGUGAAGAAGACGGAGGACGUACUUGCUACACAUUUCUUUUGGCCAAAGAUGAGACGGGAUGUUGAGCGUUUUAUUGCUCGCUGCACUACAUGUCAAAAAGCUAAGUCAUGA
RNAcentral lists this ribosomal RNA (3120 nucleotides) under Triticum aestivum (bread wheat). Its description in RNAcentral is "partial small subunit ribosomal RNA". Lineage: Eukaryota; Viridiplantae; Streptophyta; Magnoliopsida; Poales; Poaceae. The record is from RNAcentral.